CAGCAUCGCUGCGCCAAGCAAGUUGAAUCCCAGCACCGAAAAGCCCAUCGGGAGAUAAUGUAAGAGCAGCAAGCGACCUCUGCCGAGGAAGGAACGGAUCAGCAGCACGCUGGCAAGGUAUGUAACCCAGAGCAGACCCUGGGAACAAAAGGCUCUCAUAUCCAGAGUUGCCACGAGCCCACAGAGCACACUUCCCAUGGCUCUGCUCAGUGGGCACUGAGGUGCUGACGCAGACCCAGCCCUCCUGCACGCACAGUCCUGCCGGUGCCCAGCUCCUAAACCAAUCCCUAACCCAGCAUCAGCACGGUGCUGGGACCCGAGUGGGAUCUCCCUGCCCACAUCUGCAGCGUGACCACGGGUAACCCUUUCACCACGCUCACAGUGCAGCACCAUGGCACCUCCAAGGAUCCCCCCAGCACUGUGGCCCUCUGAACACCCCACCGCACAGCUGUGCUGCUCUCGGUCCUAUGCAGCACUCCUCAUCCCCCGCUCCCCUUCGGCCUUCUCCAUUUUUGACAGACAGCCACACUUGCACGGACCCAGGCAGGCGCUGCACUCAGACUGUGACGGUGUUUAAAAGGUGCAAGCGGGAGAUGGUACAGCUACAGCAUCUCCUGAUGUGCCACAGCCACGUCUGGGCAAAAAAAACACCCACUCUAAAGCACUGAAAUACAGUAUAAACACACACACACACACACACACGCUGCUCCAGGAGAGCUGAGUGCAGGCUGUGGGAGCGGCUGGGAUCACACGCGGAACCCUACACGCACAGCACAUUGCAGGCAGAGCGUGCGUCCAGCCUACAAAGGGAGCUGCACAUUCGUCCCGGCUCCGGCACCGCACGUGGGGUGGCUGCAGGCAGAGGGGUGACCCUUGGGGUGCCCCCAGCCCCCCACCCGUCCUUUUCCCCCAUCUCGCACCCAUCCGGCUCUGGCAGAAGCACAGCGAUCCUGUACACAGCUUUUUCAAACUGCCAGGCAGAAGAAUCCCAGUCCUUCCAAGGGAGUGUCGGUAAAUCAUCAUUACAUCCGACAACGCAACCAGAGGGAUUAACCCUUUGCUCGGCCUCAGGAAAACAACAACAACAACAGCGACAACAAAUUCAACGAUGAAAAUGACAAAAGCUGCCCCUGGCUACAAGAGAAGGAGGACAGGCAGGGUGCGGGCUGUGAUUUUUUUAGCUAUGCGUGGAUACAGAUAGAUAGAGAUCUUUGUGCGCGCGUGUGUGCGGCGAGCACAUGAAGAACAUGCCACCACGCACCCGACUCGGAACGUGCCUCAGCCCUCCCCAUGGCUCUCCCACUUUUUGGAGGACCACAAUACUGCUCUCCAGUGCAGAUGUGCCUCCCACCCCCCCAAGGAUCUCUCCUCUGGACUUAGAGAGAAGAGGAAAAGGCAGAUUUUGAGAAAUGAAAAUUAUUUAAGGAUGUCCCCGCUGCCUCUCUCUGCUGCCCUCCUCUGUAAUACCGAAGCAUUUGCAGAAAGUAAUACAACGUAAAUAAAUAAUAAAAAACUCUUCAGCUAGAAGAGCUGCAGAGGAGGAACUGAGGAUCCUUUCCGGGCUGUGCGGAGCAAGAGAGGAAGACUCCGUGGAGGAAGGUCCCAGUGUGGGGAAGGCUGCUGAUGGAGAUCGCUGCGGGGCUGCAAACCCUGUGUCCAAAGCAGCUCGGACCUACAGCACCGGCACAGCUGGGCCCCACAUUACGAGGCGCUCAAGGAGCGGCAGAACCAGAGCCUGUCCGUCUGACUGUAGGCACAGACCUCGGGUACCCCCCCGAAAUAAACAGAGCCGCUGUCCCGCGUCCCUGAACCUGGAGCUGGAGAGGAACGCUCUCACGCUCACAGCAGACAACUCCAGGACCCGCUGGUCUGACUCAGCAAAGAGGAUUUCACUCAAAAAAGCGACCCCAGAAUGCAGCCAAAAAAUAUGCUUUGCCCCAUAAAUCAGACCUCCUGCAUACACGACGCCUUCUGUUACCAUGUGCUGAGGACUUUUCCUCUUCAAUAUGUGCCUUUGGCUGAGCCAUGCUUGCACGCAGGGGCUGUGGUUUUGCAUCUCCCAGUUUCUAUAGGCACAAGAUUUUAUUCAUACCUUUGCUCUGAAACAUCUGCAUUUCGCUUUCUUGCUAGAAUAGAUGAAGCUUUAAGUAACAACAAUAGAACACCAAGGAAUCUGAAGUAAGCCAUGUUAUGAGUGGGGUAAAUAAGCAGCAUCCUCACGGCCUGCUUCCCUCCAAGAAACCUGUCCAGAAGCAAGCAGCCAAAUCACACUUCCACAAACCUGCAUGGAUUCCUGUACAGCAAACCCUGAGUGCUCCCCCAGCCCACCCUGAGCAGCUCUUUGACUUCGGGGACAACAGGCACUCACACGCUUGUCAGAAACCACAUCAAAUUUCUAUUUUCUCUGCUAUUUUUUUUUCCCCAGCUGUUUCUUGCAUGUUUUUCAGUCAUGCAUUCUUUGCUCAGAAACACAUUCUAGCCAAGUCUAAGUGUUUAAGUUAUUAAAAAAAACAAAACCUUGUAACUUUGCACAGAAAUGUGUAGAAUCGAGAAAGAAAUGCAUGCUGUUGACUACACAUUGCAGCCUACUGCUCUUUCCCACCUCUUCCAAAACCAAUGAGUAUUUAAUCACCUCUCUCACCCCUAAACGAGCCAGGCUAACCCAAGGGGAUCAAGGCUCAGCUUCCUAGAGCAAGGGACAAGGAGGAAAGCAGGAGGGGUGCUACAGCUCUUUGCAAAGAUGAGACCAAAAGCAAUGCCAAUAUUGAUGGACGUGCUCAACUUUGCUCAGAUGAGCAGUUUCAAUCCAAACAGAUGCAGAAGGGCCCUGUUGGCACACAGAAAUCAGCAUAGCACAGCAGCUGGGAUAAGGGAAUGAGUUUAAAACAAAAGGAAACCCAGUGUCGUUGAAGCCAAGAGUAGUGCCAAGUAGAUUUGGGUCCAGAAAUUAGACCUCGUUCUUCAAAAAGACAAAAGUUGCAACAUAUGAGCUGAAGAGAAACAUAUUUAGCAGAUUUAUUUUCCUUCCUUUCCAUAUUUAAAUGGAAGCUGCUUUAAAAUACUAAAUAAACUGCAGCAAAUUGGCACAGCGAUGAAAUUAAAUAAAUAAUAAAAAAAAAAGUGGCAGUUCUAAUUUAAUUAGCCAAAAUAAGAACAGUUACAGGGGGGAGGAGAUGCCACCGGAACCACACGGCACGGGGAACAGAGCACUUGCUUUGGACACUGGGUAUAUUUAGAUCAAUGCCUCGUUCAGAGGUAAGGCUGUGGCGUGGCCACAGAAGGCACGGGCAGUGUGAGUCCAGGCACAGGAAGGGCUUGUGGGAGGGAUCAAACAAACAGGGAGAGGGGAUAAAGGGCCUUUCACAGCCCUCCGGGCUGCAUUUAUCCGGAGCUGUUUGGGAGAGCUGGGCAGAGGGAACCCACCCUGGGGAGGUGCUGACACGGAGAAGCUCUGCUCCUAUUUUAGGGACUGCUGUUCAACCUCUAUUUGGUGAUGCAAAACCAUUGCACGUUGCAUUUCUUGUUCCUCACACGGAGAGCAUCAAUCGUGCAAGGGACGUACGGAGAGCUCAGAAACCAUUUUGCGACCCAUGCUCUGCCCUGCUAUCCUCCCCCCCUCGUCCCAGCCCGUGCCAUAGGCCAGCAGUGACAUGUUUGAACUUCUGCAGCCGUUUGAUGUAAAAUGUUUUAAAUUCUUUUGGGGAACACUAAAGGCUUUUGUCUCUUGACCGGUGCUGCGGGGAUGCCACGUCUGGCAAAGACUGCUCUCACAGUGCUACUCAGCUCUACUAGAUCCCAUUGGGCUGCCCAAGAGCUGGGAACCACUGUUAAUCAUUACACAUUGGAAAGAAGAGAAACACAACACGGUGAUGCAAGCCCGAGCCCACCUUCCCUAAGGAAACGCUGGCUGCUGGUCACAAUUCUGCCAUACAUUUCUCUAAAGAACUGCAGCUUUACAGGAUGGCUGAAAGCUGCUACAGAUGAGUGGCAGCCAACCAUUAAGCCACAGCAGAGCAGUGCACUGCAUGCUUUAGGUAUGAAGGUAUUACUCUCCUAAACCUUGACCACCAACAUUUAGGAUACCAGGCAAAAGCUGCCUGGUUAUGGCAAUGUCCCUUUCUAUUUCCCUCAGUUGUCCACCUGUUCCUAUGCUGAAUUUGAGCGCUCUUUUAGGGACGAUUCAGUCACCAGUGCUGCUGGAAAAUACAAAAGUAAGCAGCAUCCCCAGCUCUAAGCACCAGCCCAGGCUGUUGUACUGCUUUUGCCAUUGGGAGGUGAUCCAAUACUACAUUUUGUUCACAGAUAACCGAGGCCAGUUUCUCUCUUUCUCUGCAAAAAAAAAAAAAAGAACCAAAAACCCAACCCACCAUCCAAACCAACGCUGGGCUGCUGCACGUGGAGCAGUAAUUCUUCCACAGUUGGAAGGUUUGCUCGUUAAGUGUCGCAAUGCAUCAGCAAGCACUGAUGUUCUGCCCAGUGCUGCACCGGAGGACCCUGCUGGGGCGGUGGGGGUGGGCAUGUGCUGAACUGGGCAGGAUGGGUGAUGCAAUCGUUCUCUAAAGGAACAGAACAUUUUUUCUUCAUGAAACAGAACCACCCUGAGAGCACCUUCUCCUGCAGCAAGGAUGGACAUGAGCCCAGAGCUUCAAAGAACCUGCUGAGCUGCAUUACUUCCUGCACAUUAAGGAUGGCUGUGGCUACAGCAGCACGUUGCUGAGACAGGGAAUGUCAACCAAAAGCUUGGGUUGGAUUCUCAGUAACUUCAACAGGGAAGGGAAAGGAAGAGGGGCUUACAUAAAGCCAGACCAACAUUCUGGUGUGACACGGUGUUUAAGGGCAAUGGUAUUUAAGACAGAAUGAUAAUAAAUGUGGUUUGGUUUUGUUUGUUACUGACAA
Meleagris gallopavo (turkey) is the source of this 4896-nucleotide long non-coding RNA. RefSeq lists it as uncharacterized. NCBI's taxonomy places the organism in Eukaryota, Metazoa, Chordata, Aves, Galliformes, Phasianidae. The record is from RefSeq and is a predicted model, not a curated record.